GCUAUAGCUGGGGAGGUGCGACUCUUGCCUGCUUGUACCACAAUCUAUGUGAAGCUGCACUUGGUAAGAGGACCGAUGUCGGGGGAGCUCUUACAUUGUUACAGCUGUGGGCUUGGGAAAGAAUCCCAAUUAUUAGACCGCAGAUGCUGAACCCCGCGCCCGUAGACUACUUACCAUGUGCAGUCGCAUGGACUGGUCGGGCCUCUUAUGUAAAAGCACCGGGGCAUUGCAUUGAAACUUUCAGAGAUCAGUUCUCAACAAUGCAUGCCAAUCAGUUUAUUUGGAGGCCGUAUGAAUCGCGAAAUCUGCCGGAUGUUUGUGUUGCCGGUCGUCCUAUAUGGACGUCGAUGACAACACUAAUCUGCUGGAAUAUGGUUGAGCCACACAUGCCACAGCG
Salvia splendens (bonfire salvia) is the source of this 397-nucleotide long non-coding RNA. RefSeq lists it as uncharacterized. The record is from RefSeq and is a predicted model, not a curated record. The transcript has 3 exons. NCBI's taxonomy places the organism in Eukaryota, Viridiplantae, Streptophyta, Magnoliopsida, Lamiales, Lamiaceae.